Molecule: ribosomal RNA, 379 nt
Filed under: Escherichia coli
Lineage: Bacteria; Pseudomonadati; Pseudomonadota; Gammaproteobacteria; Enterobacterales; Enterobacteriaceae
Also listed under: 2 other names
Description: partial 16S ribosomal RNA
Rfam family: Bacterial small subunit ribosomal RNA
Source: RNAcentral
GUGAUAAACUGGAGGAAGGUGGGGAUGACGUCAAGUCAUCAUGGCCCUUACGACCAGGGCUACACACGUGCUACAAUGGCGCAUACAAAGAGAAGCGACCUCGCGAGAGCAAGCGGACCUCAUAAAGUGCGUCGUAGUCCGGAUUGGAGUCUGCAACUCGACUCCAUGAAGUCGGAAUCGCUAGUAAUCGUGGAUCAGAAUGCCACGGUGAAUACGUUCCCGGGCCUUGUACACACCGCCCGUCACACCAUGGGAGUGGGUUGCAAAAGAAGUAGGUAGCUUAACCUUCGGGAGGGCGCUUACCACUUUGUGAUUCAUGACUGGGGUGAAGUCGUAACAAGGUAACCGUAGGGGAACCUGCGGUUGGAUCACCUCCUUA